GAUCAUGGCUCAGAUUGAACGCUGGCGGCAGGCCUAACACAUGCAAGUCGAGCGGUAGAGAGAAGCUUGCUUCUCUUGAGAGCGGCGGACGGGUGAGUAAUGCCUAGGAAUCUGCCUAGUGGUGGGGGAUAACGUUCGGAAACGGACGCUAAUACCGCAUACGUCCUACGGGAGAAAGCGGGGGAUCUUCGGACCUCGCGCCAUUAGAUGAGCCUAGGUCGGAUUAGCUAGUUGGUGAGGUAAUGGCUCACCAAGGCGACGAUCCGUAACUGGUCUGAGAGGAUGAUCAGUCACACUGGAACUGAGACACGGCCCAGACUCCUACGGGAGGCAGCAGUGGGGAAUUUUGGACAAUGGGCGCAAGCCUGAUCCAGCAAUGCCGCGUGCAGGAAGAAGGCCUUCGGGUUGUAAACCUCUUUUUUCAGGGAGGAAUAAAUGACGUGUACCUGAAGAAUAAGCAUCGGCUAACUCCGUG
RNAcentral lists this ribosomal RNA (475 nucleotides) under uncultured bacterium. RNAcentral describes it as "bacterial SSU rRNA". It matches the Rfam family "Bacterial small subunit ribosomal RNA", at positions 15 to 507 of the family's 1533-position model. The record is from RNAcentral.